GAUGAACGCUGGCGGCGUGCCUAAUACAUGCAAGUCGAGCGAACAGACGAGGAGCUUGCUCCUCUGACGUUAGCGGCGGACGGGUGAGUAACACGUGGAUAACCUACCUAUAAGACUGGGAUAACUUCGGGAAACCGGAGCUAAUACCGGAUAAUAUAUUGAACCGCAUGGUUCAAUAGUGAAAGACGGUUUUGCUGUUACUUAUAGAUGGAUCCGCGCCGCAUUAGCUAGUUGGUAAGGUAACGGCUUACCAAGGCAACGAUGCGUAGCCGACCUGAGAGGGUGAUCCGCCACACUGGACCUGAGACACGGUCCAGACUCCUACGGGAGGCAGCAGUGGCGAAUCUUCCGCAAUGGGCGAAAGCCUGACGGAGCCACGCCACGUGAGUGAUGAAGGUCUUCGGCUCGUAAAACUCUGUUAUUAGGGAAGAACAAAUGUGUACGUAACUAUGCACGUAUUGACGGUACCUAAUCAGAAAGCCACGGCUAACUACGUG
RNAcentral lists this ribosomal RNA (497 nucleotides) under uncultured bacterium. Its description in RNAcentral is "partial 16S ribosomal RNA". It matches the Rfam family "Bacterial small subunit ribosomal RNA", at positions 28 to 507 of the family's 1533-position model. The record is from RNAcentral.